AAGGAUUUAAGUUAACUUGCUAAACUAUUAGCCUUCAAAGCUGAAAACAGGGGAUUCCUAAGCCUUA
This 67-nucleotide transfer RNA is filed under the name Callipogon relictus. RNAcentral describes it as "tRNA-Trp". It matches the Rfam family "tRNA". Rfam says of the family: Transfer RNA (tRNA) molecules are approximately 80 nucleotides in length. Lineage: Eukaryota; Metazoa; Arthropoda; Insecta; Coleoptera; Cerambycidae. The record is from RNAcentral.